GGAUCAGCGCCUUUAUAAAAAGCGACCUCAGAGGGUCCCUCAGCCCUUGUACCGCGCGAGGACACAGCGACAAGACCCUCAGAAGGAAGCCGGCCCUCACCAGGCACCGGAUCUGCAGCAUCUGGGUCACCUUGACGGUGGGCUUCCCAGCCUCCAGAGCCGUGAGAAACUAACUUUUGUUGUUCAAUUCUUCGUGUUUGAUAUGGUGAAGUUUUCAACAGCUUGAAGUCACAUUUCAAGAACAGGAAUUAUCCCUGGAGAGCAGAGAGCACAUUGGGUCAUAAUGGCCAUAGAGGGAUAUUGGACUCCUUCCAGCAUUUCAGAUCACAAGAAAUGCAGAGCUGCUCUGAAGACCCCGGUAGGGCCCAGAGGUGCCCCAGUCAGCAAUACCAUGAGCGUUCUCAUGGCAACUUGUAAACUUGCCUAUGUUGUACAAGGAGGAGAGAUGCUUUAGUGUCCAGUUGGGAAGGAAAAAGAACCCUGGAUCCAGAGUCGUAAGGGGAAAAGAACUGCUCUUUCCAGCAAAGACAAGUUCAUGCACAUCUCUUUUUUUUUUUUUUUUUUUUCUGCUCUGUCUCCAUUUGGGUGGUCUUUCUCCAAAGAAUCAUAAAAAAAUAAGCUAUG
Prionailurus viverrinus (fishing cat) is the source of this 624-nucleotide long non-coding RNA. RefSeq lists it as uncharacterized. The transcript has 4 exons. NCBI's taxonomy places the organism in Eukaryota, Metazoa, Chordata, Mammalia, Carnivora, Felidae. The record is from RefSeq and is a predicted model, not a curated record.